CGUACACUCCUGCGGGAGGCAGCAGUGGGGAAUAUUGGACAAUGGGCGCAAGCCUGAUCCAGCCAUGCCGCGUGAGUGAUGAAGGCCCUAGGGUUGUAAAGCUCUUUCACCGGUGAAGAUAAUGACGGUAACCGGAGAAGAAGCCCCGGCUAACUUCGUGCCAGCAGCCGCGGUAAUACGAAGGGGGCUAGCGUUGUUCGGAUUUACUGGGCGUAAAGCGCACGUAGGCGGACUAUUAAGUCAGGGGUGAAAUCCCGGGGCUCAACCCCGGAACUGCCUUUGAUACUGGUAGUCUUGAGUUCGAGAGAGGUGAGUGGAAUUCCGAGUGUAGAGGUGAAAUUCGUAGAUAUUCGGAGGAACACCAGUGGCGAAGGCGGCUCACUGGCUCGAUACUGACGCUGAGGUGCGAAAGCGUGGGGAGCAAACAGGAUUAGAAACCCGUGUAGUCC
Molecule: ribosomal RNA, 449 nt
Filed under: uncultured organism
Description: partial 16S ribosomal RNA
Rfam family: Bacterial small subunit ribosomal RNA
Source: RNAcentral